Molecule: ribosomal RNA, 502 nt
Filed under: uncultured bacterium
Lineage: Bacteria
Description: partial 16S ribosomal RNA
Rfam family: Bacterial small subunit ribosomal RNA
Source: RNAcentral
AUUGAACGCUGGCGGCAUGCUUUACACAUGCAAGUCGAACGGCAGCAUAGGUGCUUGCACCUGAUGGCGAGUGGCGAACGGGUGAGUAAUACAUCGGAACAUGUCCGGAAGUGGGGGAUAACGUAGCGAAGGUUACGCUAAUACCGCAUAUGCCCUGAGGGGGAAAGGGGGGGAUCGCAAGACCUCUCGCUUUGGGAGUGGGCGAUAUCGGAUUAGCUAGUAGGUGAGGUAAAGGCUCACCUAGGCGACGAUCCGUAGCUGGUCUGAGAGGACGACCAGCCACACUGGGACUGAGACACGGCCCAGACUCCUACGGGAGGCAGCAGUGGGGAAUUUUGGACAAUGGGCGCAAGCCUGAUCCGGCCAUGCCGCGUGAGUGAAGAAGGCCUUCGGGUUGUAAAGCUCUUUCAGCCGGAAAGAAAUCGUACUUAUUAAUACUAAGUGCGGAUGACGGUACCGGAAGAAGAAGCACCGGCUAACUACGUGCCAGCCGCCGCUGUAA